Molecule: long non-coding RNA, 186 nt
Organism: Ailuropoda melanoleuca (giant panda)
Lineage: Eukaryota; Metazoa; Chordata; Mammalia; Carnivora; Ursidae
Exons: 2
Source: RefSeq, a predicted model, not a curated record
CAGAUGAAUUUGCAAUUGCCGAGUACAGUGCUCCUUGCAGCAAAGAUCAUGGAAAUGCUUGAAGACCACGACAGUGAAAACUGCUUUGCUGGGGUCCCUGUUUCACAGACUGAGGUUUCCGUGGAAGAAAAGAAUUUUUGUAUCUAUGAAGAUUUGAAAUAAACCUUUUUUUCUGGUCAAUCUUUA